GACCCGACAACUCCUACUGACCCGACACCUCCUACUGCCCCGAUUAAAAAACGCCCGCGCGAGGAAGUUAAAGGUUAUGCGGACGAUCAAAAUGGGUCAGACGAUGUAGGGAGCGGCCGCUAGCGAUUUUUACCAAAUAAGCUGCAAUAUCCAAGAUCCGUGUCACAUUCUAAAAAAAAUUAGAUUACUAAUUUUAAUAUAUUUAAAAAUGUUCUUCUUUGUUAAUCAUAAUUGUCU
Long non-coding RNA from Adelges cooleyi (spruce gall adelgid), 237 nucleotides. RefSeq lists it as uncharacterized. The transcript is spliced from 5 exons. NCBI's taxonomy places the organism in Eukaryota, Metazoa, Arthropoda, Insecta, Hemiptera, Adelgidae. The record is from RefSeq and is a predicted model, not a curated record.